AGGGCACCACCAGGAGUGGAGCCUGCGGCUUAAUUUGACUCAACACGGGAAAACUCACCCGGCCCGGACACUGGAAGGAUUGACAGAUUGAGAGCUCUUUCUUGAUUCAGUGGGUGGUGGUGCAUGGCCGUUCUUAGUUGGUGGAGUGAUUUGUCUGGUUAAUUCCGAUAACGAACGAGACUCUAGCCUACUAAAUAGAUCGUCGGCUUACAAACGCCGGCGAGACUUCUUAGAGGGACAGGCGGUGAUUCAACCGCACGAAACAGAGCAAUAACAGGUCUGUGACGCCCUUAGAUGUCCGGGGCCGCACGCGCGCUACACUGAAGUGAUCAGCGUGCUUUUUCAACCUACUCUGUCAAGAGUGGGGAACCCAAUGAACCUUCUUCGUGAUUGGGAUAGGGGAUUGUAAUUAUUCCCCUUGAACGAGGAAUUCCCAGUAAGCGCGAGUCAUAAGCUCGCGUUGAUUACGUCCCUGCCCUUUGUACACACCGCCCGUCGCUACUACCGAUUGAAUGUUUU
Molecule: ribosomal RNA, 519 nt
Filed under: uncultured eukaryote
Lineage: Eukaryota
Description: SSU rRNA
Rfam family: Eukaryotic small subunit ribosomal RNA
Source: RNAcentral